RNAcentral lists this unclassified non-coding RNA (494 nucleotides) under Bombus terrestris (buff-tailed bumblebee). Its description in RNAcentral is "misc RNA ENSBTSG00005037054.1". Lineage: Eukaryota; Metazoa; Arthropoda; Insecta; Hymenoptera; Apidae. The record is from RNAcentral.
CCGGUGUGAAAAGAUCGUUCUGCAAGGGUGAAUCUUUUUGCGUGGAAAUCCGCGAUAACAAGCAGAUCAUCCAGCGAUGGAAAGUUCUGAUAUCACCUUUGAUAACCAUCCAACGAAGGUCUGGGAUUUGAAGAAGCAUAAGAUUCGAAUGAAAAGAGGAAAAAAGGCAGUAAAAGAGGAAAUAUCAAACGAAAUUUGAUAGCAAAAUCGUUAUCAGAAAAUUGUAAGCAGCGUUGUCAAUAUUGGAUUUACACAUAUCUUUGACAAUUUUUGACAUUAAUUCAAAAUCCAUCGCUACAGAGAGACCCCAGCUGAGAAAUGACUGUUACGGGGCGGCGAGCGCGCAUCCGCCUCGAAAUAGGAAGCCUCGUAGGACGCACAAUGAAACAAUGAGACUGUUACGUGCAAGGAAGGAAAGACGAGGAGCCCCGUGCCCUCGAAAGAUCCCCUUUCGUUCAUUCGCGAGUACAUCGGUGAAACUUCUCACUAUACUG